RNAcentral lists this ribosomal RNA (491 nucleotides) under uncultured bacterium. RNAcentral's name for it is "partial 16S ribosomal RNA". It matches the Rfam family "Bacterial small subunit ribosomal RNA", at positions 29 to 506 of the family's 1533-position model. The record is from RNAcentral.
AGUGAACGCUGGCGGUAGGCCUAACACAUGCAAGUCGAACGGCAGCACAGUAAGAGCUUGCUCUUACGGGUGGCGAGUGGCGGACGGGUGAGGAAUACAUCGGAAUCUACUUUUUCGUGGGGGAUAACGUAGGGAAACUUACGCUAAUACCGCAUACGACCUACGGGUGAAAGCAGGGGAUCUUCGGACCUUGCGCGAUUGAAUGAGCCGAUGUCGGAUUAGCUAGUUGGCGGGGUAAAGGCCCACCAAGGCGACGAUCCGUAGCUGGUCUGAGAGGAUGAUCAGCCAACCUGGAACUGAGAACGGGCCCAGACCCCUAGGGGAGGCAGCAGUGGGGAAUAUUGGAAAAUGGGGGAAAGCCUGAUCCAGCCAUCCCGGGGGGGGGAAGAAGGCCUUCGGGUUGUAAAGCCCUUUUGUUGGGAAAAAAAAGCAGCAGGUUAAAACCCCGCUGUUCUGACGGUACCAAAAGAAUAAGCACCGGCUAACUUCGU